RNAcentral lists this long non-coding RNA (1007 nucleotides) under Musa acuminata (dwarf banana). Its description in RNAcentral is "long non-coding RNA (MACU_LNC001916)". Lineage: Eukaryota; Viridiplantae; Streptophyta; Magnoliopsida; Zingiberales; Musaceae. The record is from RNAcentral.
CUGGUUGUGGCCGGCAGCCCCGAUUUGACGUUAACUUCUCGAACGCUGCCGAUCGCCAGAUCGCCCUGCACCACGCAUCUGCUGAUGAAGGGCUUGUACUUGUGUGGCUGGUCGAAUCGCCUCACCAAUGACCAAACUUGUCAUCACAACAAGAGAGCCCGCGCUCAGAGUGCUUCCGUUUGAUCCAGGUUUUCCGCUCUACAGCACCACUAUCGACAUGCUCCACCGACGAGCAAAAAAAGACGACAACUUGGACGCCCAGAUCGAGGAGAAAUGGGGGAAAGACAUGUGCUUCAGAACAGAGAAGUCGAUUUCUCGAAAAGAAGCUUCUUUUUCUUCCCCUGCUCCGACUGCUUCUUCUGAUUCCUCGAGCAUGCAGGGUCCAAGUAAGCAGGGAAUCGAUCGACCAAUCCAUUUCUAUAGAAAAUAUUGCAUAUAUCUCAAACCGGAAAAAGAAAUCAAAUCGCCAGAGCUCGGUUCCGCAAGAUCAAGAUCGAGAGAUGGAGAGACGAAAGGGCGAAAGAAAGAAAAAGAAAGAAAGAUAAACAGGGGAAGGAGACGAUACGAGAUGGACAGGGGCCUUGAUGUGCUUGACGAGAGUGGAGCUGCACUGGUCGUCCCUGGCCUCCUGCCUGUGGUGCUUCCUCACGUACUCCUCCUCCAUCGGCCAGCAUCCGCCGCUCAUCUGGUCGCACCACCAUCAGUCGACUUCCUCUCUCUCUCUGCAACCAGUAACCGCCUCUAUCUCUCGGAGAAGAGGAAGCAGCCUCUUCGCCGAAGCUUAUCCACUACAUUAGUCCUCUUCUGCAAUUCCCGAUCGCUAUAAGCUUGUUGGGUUACACAGGUCUUGUCUGCGCCACCACCCCACCCCACCCCGUCCUUGGAAGGCAAAAAGCGGAAGCCGGAAGGGUUCGAUUCUUAACUGUCCGACACGUCUCGUGUUUCUACUGGUUCUCGCGGGCCCAUUCCUUUUAUACAAUGUCGCGAUUCCUACCCGAUGAGGUACC